GAUGAACGCUGGCGGCGUGCCUAAUACAUGCAAGUCGAGCGAACAGACGAGGAGCUUGCUCCUCUGACGUUAGCGGCGGACGGGUGAGUAACACGUGGAUAACCUACCUAUAAGACUGGGAUAACUUCGGGAAACCGGAGCUAAUACCGGAUAAUAUAUUGAACCGCAUGGUUCAAUAGUGAAAGACGGUUUUGCUGUCACUUAUAGAUGGAACCGCGCCGCAUUAGCUAGUUGGUAAGGUAACGGCUUACCAAGGCAACGAUGCGUAGCCGACCUGAGAGGGUGACCGGCCUCACUGGAACUGAGACACGGUCCAGACUCCUACGGGAGGCAGCAGGAGGGAAUCUUCCGCAAUGGGCGAAAGCCUGACGGAGCAACGCCGGGUGAGUGAUGAAGGUCUUCGGAUCGUAAAACUCUGUUAUUAGGGAAGAACAAAUGUGUAAGUAACUAUGCACGUCUUGACGGUACCUAAUCAGAAAGCCACGGCUAACUACGUG
This 497-nucleotide ribosomal RNA is filed under the name uncultured bacterium. RNAcentral's name for it is "partial 16S ribosomal RNA". It matches the Rfam family "Bacterial small subunit ribosomal RNA", at positions 28 to 507 of the family's 1533-position model. The record is from RNAcentral.